CUCAGUGAAAAGGCAUUACCUCUUUACCGAUUGAUGAAGAAGUCCGACAAGUUUGAGUGGACUCCCGAAGCUGAUGCAGCAUUUGUAGAGCUCAAAGCUCUGCUCUCCACCCAGCCGGUGCUUGCUGCCCCAAUCAGCGAAGAGCCUUUGCUGCUUUACAUUGCAGCCACAGGACAAGUCGUCGGUAUGGUACUUACGGUCGAGCGGGAAGAAGAAGGGAAAACCUUCAAAGUUCAGCGCCCAGUAUAUUAUAUUUCUGAAGUCUUGACCCCAUCGAAGCAAAGAUAUCCUCAAUAUCAGAAGCUUGUAUAUGGGAUUUAUAUGACCACCAAGAAAGUUGCUCACUACUUCUCUGAUCAUUCCAUUACAGUCAUCAGCGACGCUCCAUUAUCAGAGAUCCUACAUAAUAGGGAUGCAACUGGUCGAGUGGCAAAAUGGGCGAUUGAACUC
This 450-nucleotide ribosomal RNA is filed under the name Triticum aestivum (bread wheat). Its description in RNAcentral is "partial small subunit ribosomal RNA". The record is from RNAcentral. Lineage: Eukaryota; Viridiplantae; Streptophyta; Magnoliopsida; Poales; Poaceae.